AUGAAAGGAACAUCCAUUUUAUUCAAAGCACCUCCAAACCUGCAAUCCUAAGUUCCAGGCAACUCAAUCCCAAAAAUCCACUGUAGAUGCCCAAAGGCUGGGGUGUUCGGUCUUCAACAUUUUUGCCUUUGUGGCUCCCAGUCAAGAUAGAGCUGCACCAAGUCCAAUUCCAUUCCUCAUCACAGAUGAUUUUUUCUACUUUAAGAUCAGAACUAUACAAGCUUCUUGCUUUGUGUCAGCAUGCUGUUGUACCCAUGGGCAAAUUCUUAGGUAAGACAAAAACACAGUCCCAAGGGCAGGUAGUAAUUUUUUCAGAAAAAGGUAAGGCAAUCAUUUAUCUCAGUCUGCCCAGGACAGUCCCAAUUUACACAUGUAUAUUCUCCCAAUCUGUAGGCUGUCUUUUCAUUUUGUUGAUUAUUUCACUUAAUUUUUUAUUAUUUAUUUAUUUUAUAGAGACAGAUCUCAUUAUGUUGCCCAGGGUGAUCCUUGAUCUCCUGGCCUCAAGUGAUCCUCCAACCUUGGUCUCCCAAAGUGCUGGGAUUACAGAUGUGAACUACCACACCCAGUCAACGUGCAGAAGGUUUUCAGUUUGAUGUAGUCUGAUGUAGUCUCAUGUAUUUAUCCUUCUUGUUGUUGCCUGAGCUUUUGGUGUGAUAUCCAAAAAUAUCAUUGCCAAGAUCAAUAUCAAGAAACUUUCCCCCUAUGUUUCUUACAGAAAUUUUAUGGUUUCAGAUUUUUCAUCCAUUUUGAGUAUAUUUGUGUGUAUGAUGUAAGAUAAGGGUCCAGUCUCCCCAGUGUUGGAUAUCCAAUUUUCAUAACACCAUUUAUUGAAGAGAUUAUUCUUUCUCCACUGUGUUUUCUUGAUGUCCUUGUCAAAAAUUAGUUGACUUUUAUAUGCUUGGGUUUAUUUCUGGGCUCUAUUCUGUUUCAUUGCUUUACAUCUCUGUUUUCAUGCCAGUGCCACAGUGUUUUGAUUACUAUAGCUUUGUAAUAUAAUUUGAAAUCAGAAUGUGUAAUACCUAUAACUUUGUUUUUUGCUCUAAAGAUUUAUUUAUUUAUUUAUUUUUGCCAUUUCAGGUCUUUUGUGGUUUCAUAUGAAUUUCAGAAUUGUUUUUCCUAUUUCUGUGAAAAAUGCCAUUGACAUUUUGAUAGGGAUUGUGUUGAAUCUAUAUAUUGCUUUGGAUAGUAUGGAUG
RNAcentral lists this long non-coding RNA (1194 nucleotides) under Homo sapiens (human). RNAcentral describes it as "non-protein coding lnc-SAMD11-7:27". Lineage: Eukaryota; Metazoa; Chordata; Mammalia; Primates; Hominidae. The record is from RNAcentral.